Molecule: microRNA, 22 nt
Filed under: Homo sapiens (human)
Lineage: Eukaryota; Metazoa; Chordata; Mammalia; Primates; Hominidae
Description: hsa-miR-7111-3p
Source: miRBase by way of RNAcentral
AUCCUCUCUUCCCUCCUCCCAG